RNAcentral lists this ribosomal RNA (254 nucleotides) under uncultured bacterium. Its description in RNAcentral is "partial 16S ribosomal RNA". It matches the Rfam family "Bacterial small subunit ribosomal RNA", at positions 524 to 776 of the family's 1533-position model. The record is from RNAcentral.
UACGGGGGGAGCAAGCGUUGUUCGGAUUUACUGGGCGUAAAGGGCGCGUAGGCGGUCAGCACAAGUCAGUUGUGAAAUCUCCGGGCUUAACUCGGAAAGGUCAACUGAUACUGUGCGACUAGAGUGCGGAAGGGGCAACUGGAAUUCUCGGUGUAGCGGUGAAAUGCGUAGAUAUCGAGAGGAACACCUGCGGCGAAGGCGGGCUGCUGGGCCGACACUGACGCUGAUGCGCGAAAGCCAGGGGAGCGAACGGG